GUACUGGUGUUACUGGUUCCUACCUUCUGACGAACCAGUCAUGUCAUUCAUUUGGUGUGGCGGGGAAUCAGGACUGUUACUUUGAAAAAAUUAGAGUGUUUAAAGCAGGCUCGCGCUUGAAUACAUUAGCAUGGAAUAAUGAAAUAGGACGUUGAUCCUAUUUUGUUGGUUUCUAGGAUUGACGUAAUGAUUAAUAGGGAUAGUUGGGGGCAUUAGUAUUCAAUUGUCAGAGGUGAAAUUCUUGGAUUUAUUGAAGACUAACUACUGCGAAAGCAUUUGCCAAGGAUGGUUUCAUUAAUCAAGAACGGAAGUUAGGGGAUCGAAGACGAUCAGAUACCGUCGUAGUCUUAACCAUAAACUAUGCCGACUAGGGAUCGGAUGAUGUUAAUUUUUUAAUGACUCAUUCGGCGCCUUACG
Molecule: ribosomal RNA, 417 nt
Filed under: uncultured Glomeromycotina
Lineage: Eukaryota; Fungi; Glomeromycota
Description: SSU rRNA
Rfam family: Eukaryotic small subunit ribosomal RNA
Source: RNAcentral